RNA transcript from Rhagoletis zephyria (snowberry fruit fly), 4351 nucleotides. RefSeq lists it as uncharacterized. The record is from RefSeq and is a predicted model, not a curated record. Lineage: Eukaryota; Metazoa; Arthropoda; Insecta; Diptera; Tephritidae.
CCCAAACUUAAACUUCCUUCAUUCAGCGGUAAAUAUUCUGAAUAUACAAAUUUCAUAACAUCCUUUAAGCAAAUAAUUGACCGUGAGUAUAGCCUCUCAAACAUAGAGAAAUUUAAUCAUUUACGCAAUUGUCUCCAGGGUCCAGCGUUAGAAACAAUUGAUGCAUUUUCAGUUUCUAAUGAAAACUAUACGAAGGCAUUGGAUAGACUUAAGGUUCGGUAUGACAAUGCAACCUUAAUAUUUUUAGAAAACAUAUGUUCGUUGUUUGAACUUUCGUCAGUUUCCAAGUCCAAUGGCGCCCAGUUGAGAAGUCUCAUUGACAAAGCGUCCGCGCUUUACGGCUCAUUAUUGUCAUUGGGCACAGAGGGCCAAAUUUCACAAGCCAUGCUUAUUUAUUUAGUUUUACAGAAGGCAGAUGAGGAGACAAACCGUAAAUGGAAGUAGUCUCUAGAAUUUAACACAUUACCGACCUGGAACGAGUGCACCAAGGUUUUGGAGAGACAUUGCCAGUACCUCGACUCAAUUGAUAACUCUCGCGCCGUUGGAUCCGUACACCAAAUUGCUGCGAAAGCGCCCAAAGCAAAGAAUCAUCACAAGAGCCAUUAAUUUGCUUGUUCGAGUCCGUCAUGUUCGAUGUGCUCCAGCAACAGUCACAAAAUACAUAGUUGCGAUCGCUUCAAGGCACUUAAUGUGUGCGUUUUGACCACGCAAAGAAGAUGGGCCUUUGCAUAAAUUGUUUGUCAAAGGGCCACCAACUAUCGAGUUGUCCAUCUUUGCACAUAUGUAAGGUUUGCUCUCGACAGCACCAUAGCCUGCUUCAUCGAGUAACUAUGUCCGACUCGUCUACCUCUCCGUCCGCCGUUCAUACGAAAAUGAACAACUCAUCGCAGGAUCACACAAUUCUCGCCGCUGCUAUAGUUUUGGUUCGCGACGUAUCUGGUGGUUAUCGACUUGGCAGAGCAUUGUUGGAUUCCUACUCCCAGGUAAACUUCAUUACGGAUGAAUUAUCACAAACCCUGAUGCUUCCACGGCCCUUGUUUGUCAAAGGGCCACCAACUAUCGAGUUGUCCAUCUUUGCACAAAUGUAAGGUUUGCUCUCGACAGCACCAUAGCCUGCUUCAUCGAGUAACUACGUCCGACUCGUCUACCUCUCCGUCCGCCGUUCAUACGCACAUGAACAACUCAUCGCAGGAUCAUAUAAUUCUCCCCACUGCUAUAGUUUUGGUUCGCGACGUAUCUGGUGGUUAUCGACUUGGCAGAGCAUUGUUGGAUUCCUGCUCCCAGGUAAACUUCAUUACGGAUGAAUUAUCACAAACCCUGAUGCUUCCACGGAGAAAACAUAACAUUGAAAUUCAAGGUAUCGUUAAGUCAUCUACAAACAUCAAAUAUACGACCUCUACCAAUAUAAAAUCGCAAGUGACAGGAUUCGAAUUACCACUCACGCUUUGUAUAACAUCGCAUAUAGCCUAUCAGCCUGAACCGGAAAUAGAUACUUCGUCUUGGGACAUCCCAUCCAAUAUUGUGCUUGCAGACAAUCAAUUUUACAAAUCUAAAAAAAUCGACUUGCUUUUAGGAACGGAAAGUUUUUUCAGUUUACUUUCAGUGGGCCAAAUCAAACUUGGUGAUAGUCUACCAAUUCUGCAGAUAACGCUUUUGGGUUGGGUCGUUUCUGGACGCUAUCGUGCGAGCUCUAACACGCUUAACACCAAAUGUUUACUUGCCUGUGAAGAGUCCAUAGACUCAAGACUGGAGAAAUUGUGGCAGAUUGAAGAAGUCACUUCAAAGGCGGACAUGUGGACUCGUGAGCAACACAGUUGCGAAAAACUUUAUAACAACACCGUGACUCGGAGCCCAAAUGGUCGAAUUGUCGUAAAACUGCCGUUCAAGGACGAUCCUGCAUGCUUGGGUGAAUCGUAUACCACAGCUUUGCGUCGUUUUAGUGCACAAGAACGUCGUCUGCUACGCUCUCCUAACCUCAGGACACAGUACGUCGAAUUCAUGGACGAGUAUGAGAGACUAGGCCACAUGCAGGUAGCUCUGAGCCCGAACUUAAACCAGCCUCACUACUACAUCCCCCAUCACUGCGUUCUGAAGCCAGGUAGCACAACAACAAAGCUAAGGGUUGUCUUCGACGCAUUUUGUCAGACCACUACUCAAACCUCAUUUAACGACAUCCAAAUGGUGGGUCCUAUCAUACAAAGCGAGCUUGUAGUUCUUUUGCUCCAAUUUCGUUUACAUCGCUUUGCGCUCACAGCAGAAAUCGUUAAAAUGUAUCGGCAGGUGCUGGUCAGUGAAGAACAUCGAAUGUUCCAGUACAUCUUGUGGAGGAGUUCGCCUAACCAGGAAAUUCAAACCUUCCAGCUUAAUACGGUCACAUACGGAAUGGAGGCCGCACCAUACCUCGCGGUACGUAGUCUGCAUCACCUUGCUGAUCAACAUGCAUCGCAAUUCGUCGUUGGUGCAAAUGUCGUCAAGUCAUCUUUCUACGUUGAUGACCUGCUGUGCGGUGAUGACUCGCGUACGGACCUUUCGCGAAUAAAACAAGAGGUAACGGAGUUGCUAAAAUUAGGUGGACUUGACCUGGCAAAGUGGCAUUCAAACCAUAAGCGUUUCAGGGGCGAACACUCUGUCAAAGACUUAAUCUCGAUACCUCAAUAACUAGCACUCUUGUUCUGACAUGGGAUCAGACACAUGAUAAUUUUUUAUUCUCGUUUCAAUCUAGGCAGCCUACAAAUAGUCGUGUCACGAAAAGGACAAUUCUAUCUACCGCAUCGUCGCUCUUUGAUCCACUUGGCCUCCUAGCACCAGUGAUCGUCACUGCCAAAAUUCUGCUUCAGGAAAUGUGGUUGCUGAAACUUGAGUGGGACGAGUCUGUUCCUCAAAAUAUCCAGUCGGCUUGGGAAAAAUUCGUCAACACUCUUUCUGAUCUGGCUUCAGUUAAGGUUCCAAGGUACUGUUUAUCUACCAACAUGCAGUCUCUUCAGACACAUGGGUUUUGUGACGCGUCGAUUCGUGCUUACGGCUGCGGACUAUAUACACGAACCUUAGACAACACUGGCAAUGUGCGCGUUCGCCUUCUUACGGCAAAAUCACGAGUGGCUCCAACUAAACGACAGUCACUGCCAAAACUGGAACUUUGCGGUGCACUCCUUCUUGCUCGACUUUUCACAAAAAUCAAAGCAAUUUUCACUAAUUAUAGGUUCGAAACUUAUCUUUGGACAGACUCGCAAAUUGUUCUUCACUGGCUCAAACUACACUCGGCUACGCUAUCAGCUUUCGUUGGCAACAGGUCAUCGGAAAUCCAGGAUUUGACUGUGGACGCUCAUUGGCGACACGUGCCAACCAAAAGCAACCCAGCUGACAUUGCAUCGAGAGGAAGCACGGCACUUGAACUUGCUAGCUCAAUUUGGCUCACUGGACCUGCAUUUCUUUACGAAGACGUACAGCUCUCACACCCUAGAAGUCAGACUGGUCGCUUUAAUGCUCCGAUUUUGCACAAGGCUCAAGAAACGAGACACCGACACUGUAAAUGGACCACUCACUGCCAACGAACUACACCGCGCUUUGUUACGCAUUGUUUGGAACGUGCAACAAUACCACUUCACUAACGACAUUCAAAUGUUGCAGAGAGAGUCAACGACAAAUGGCAAGCUACGAAAUCUGAACCCGUUUUUGGAGGUUACCCAUUGUUUCGAACUACUGAAGGUUGGCGGUCGACUUGAACUGGCUGAUAUUUCUGAAUCACAAAAACAUCCCCUUUUGUUGCCCAACAAAUGCGAAUUCGUGACACGAUAUGUUAAACAUCUGCACAUCAAAAAUUAUCACGCAGGACCUAAAGCGUUGGUAUCUUUGAUUCGCCUACAGUUUUGGAUAGUCAACGCACGCAAUAUCGCUAGACGCGUCGUCCGAUCCUGUAUCCAUUGCGUGAGAUACAAGCCGAAGCUACUCCAGCACAUGAUGGGCAAUCCACCAGUUGAGCGCUUAACACCGUCGCGCCCGUUCGCUCGCUGCGGAAUCGAUUUUUGUGAACCCUUCAGCGUCUACCUUCGUAUUAGAGGCAAGGCACCCUAUAAAGCGUACGUAGCCAUCUUCGCGUGCUUUGCAACAAAAGCGGUGCACAUCGAGGUCGUCUCUGACCUAUCCACGGAUGCUUUUUUAGCAUCGCUUAAGCGAAUGAUUGGAAGGAGAGGUCUUCCAUCUGACAUUUUCUGCGACAAUGCAACCAACUUUGUCGGCGCUUGCAGAAAACUUGCUGAAUUAAAAACAUUCCUUUUCAAGAAACAAAAUCAAGAUAUCAUCGUUAACUAUUGUGCUAAUGAAUUUGUUAAUUUUCAUUUCUUCCCUCCUAGAG